AUUUGGUGUCAGUGGUGGGAUUGAAGGAGGCUUCUGACAGCUCUGGGGACAGUAAGAAACACAGGUGUGGUACCCACAAACACUGCUGGGUUCUGUCUUUCUCACCAUUUCCCAGGGCCAUAGGUUUACUUCAGCAUUAUUUACAAUAGCCAAGACGUGGAAACAACCUAAAUGUCCAUCAAGAGACCAAUGGAUGAAGGAAAUGCGGUGUAUAUACACACUGGAAUAUUACACAGCCAUAAAAAGGAUGAAAUCGUGCCAUUUGAAACAACAUGGAUGGACCUGGAGGGUAUUAUGGUUAAAGCUUUCCUGGAUCCCAAUUCAAAGGAUCCUGAUGGUCACAGUCUAGAUGGAGCCUGGCAACUAGAUAUUCUGGAAACAUCAUCGGCGGAAGAGAAUUGUUGAACCCCAUUAGAAGGAACCUUACCAAGU
Molecule: long non-coding RNA, 432 nt
Organism: Mirounga angustirostris (Northern elephant seal)
Lineage: Eukaryota; Metazoa; Chordata; Mammalia; Carnivora; Phocidae
Exons: 3
Source: RefSeq, a predicted model, not a curated record